Molecule: long non-coding RNA, 577 nt
Filed under: Cyanistes caeruleus (blue tit)
Lineage: Eukaryota; Metazoa; Chordata; Aves; Passeriformes; Paridae
Description: lncRNA (ENSCCEG00000010812.1)
Source: RNAcentral
UCCCAGGGGCUCCUGGAUGAGCCCAUGCUCUCAUUACCAUGUUAAACCAACUGGAUCUAAGUUUGUCUGCAACACCAAAAUCAAUACAGCACAUCUUAAUUUUUAUUUUUACAUCCACAGGGAAAGCCAGGGGAGCCAGGAUUGGAUGGUUUCCCUGGUCUCAGAGGAGAGAAAGGAGAGAGGAGUGAAAGAGGCGAGAAGGGUGAACGAGGAAUACCAGGGAGAAAAGGGGCCAAAGGACAGAAGGGGGAGCCAGGCCCUCCUGGACUGGAUCAGCCUUGUCCUGUGGUACGUCUUUCAUUUCAUUUCACUCACCCUAAGCACGGGCUGCCAGGGCUGAAAAGGAGACACAGCUUUGCAGGCACAGCUUUGCAGCCAGGGAAAAGCAGGGAGGAUUUGGGAGUUCUCUCUUUUGCAGUAAAUCAGAGCAGAUGGUUAUUGUUUUCUCACUUUUUGUAAUGGUUUAUCUGCACUGCUGGAAGUUCACUGCUUACUGUAAGGGCUCCUCACUGGCCAGAUGGGAGCAAGCCACAGCAGUAAAAAUAAAGCAUCUUUGUGUAAAAACCUUCUUAUUGUA